GACGAACGCUGGCGGCGUGCUUAACACAUGCAAGUCGAACGGGAACCUUUAUUUCGGUAAAGGUGAGAGUGGCAAACGGGUGAGUAACACGUAGGCAACCUGCCGACAGGAUGGGGACAACAUUCCGAAAGGAAUGCUAAUACCGAAUGGAGUCCGGGGAUGGCAUCAUCCACGGAUCAAAGAUGGCCUCUGAAUAUGCUAUCGCCUGUCGAUGGGCCUGCGUCUGAUUAGCCAGUUGGCGGGGUAACGGCCCACCAAAGCGACGAUCAGUAGCCGGUCUGAGAGGAUGAACGGCCACAUUGGGACUGAGACACGGCCCAGACUCCUACGGGAGGCAGCAGUGGGGAAUCUUCCACAAUGGGCGAAAGCCUGAUGGAGCAACGCCGCGUGAGUGAAGAAGGUCUUCGGAUCGUAAAGCUCUGUGCACGGGAC
RNAcentral lists this ribosomal RNA (432 nucleotides) under Selenomonas sputigena. RNAcentral describes it as "bacterial SSU rRNA". It matches the Rfam family "Bacterial small subunit ribosomal RNA", at positions 28 to 445 of the family's 1533-position model. The record is from RNAcentral. Lineage: Bacteria; Bacillati; Bacillota; Negativicutes; Selenomonadales; Selenomonadaceae.